GAUACCCUAUUAGUAUUAAUAAAAAUUUAGUAGUAAGUGUUGAACAUGAAACUAAAGUUAAUUGGCGGCAAUUUAAAUUUUUUAGAGGAAUUUAUUCUGUUAAGGAUUCAACACCAAAAUCUUACUUUUACUAGUUUUAUUUAUAUAACUAAAGUCAGUUUGUAUAUCUCUAUUUAAAAAUAUAUAAUAUAUUUUAUUUAUCUUUUUAGAAAAAUUUUAGGUAAAGAUGCAGCUUAUGUAAAAGAUUGAAAUAAAUUAUAUAAAUUUUUAUUUAACUAUAUUUUGUUUUGUAAUUUAAGGAUAAAGUAAAAUUUAAAAGUAAAAUAAGUAUAUAUUAUUUAUUUGAAUAAUAAUUUAUUUGUGUACAUAUUGCCCGUCACUCUCUUUUAGAGAUAAGUC
This 399-nucleotide ribosomal RNA is filed under the name Euseius mesembrinus. Its description in RNAcentral is "partial small subunit ribosomal RNA". Lineage: Eukaryota; Metazoa; Arthropoda; Arachnida; Mesostigmata; Phytoseiidae. The record is from RNAcentral.